ACUUACAGCCCAGACCCACAGCUAAGGUCCCAAAUUACAUUUAAGUGGAAAAGGAUGUGGGGUUGCAUAAACAACCAGGAUGUUGGCUUAGAAGCAGCCAUACAUUAAAAGAGUGCGUAAUAGCUCACUGGUCGAGUGACCCUGCGCCGAAAAUUCAACGGGGCUAAAAUGUAAACCGAAGCUUGGGAUUCGCAGCAAUGCGAGUGGUAGGAGAGCGUCGUGUAAGAGGCGAAGUCGGAGCGGAAGCGCCGGUGGAUUUUACACGAGUGAGAAUGCCGGAAUGAGUAGCGAGAAUUAUGUGAGAAUCAUGAUGGCCGAAAGUCUAAGGUUUCUUGAGGAAGGUUCGUCCGCUCAAGGUAAGCCGGGAGCUAAGGUGAGGCGGAAACGCGUAGCCGAUGCACAUACGGUAGAAAUUCCGUAGCCUCCAAAAGAUUAAAGCAGAAGGACACUUUGAAAGCGAUGUUGCCGGGCGUUGGUUGCCCCGGUCGAAAGGGACUGAAAUUUAGUAAGGAAGUCAUCGUAGACGAAGGCGAGAAAAGUUCUGUGUAUAUCUUCGGAGCCCGUACCGCAAACCGACACAGGUAGAUAGGAAGAAAAUUCUAAGGCCAACGGGAGAAGGGUAGUUAAGGAACUCGGCAAGUUGACCCCGUAACUUAGGGAUAAGGGGUGCUCAAGAAAUUGAGCCGCAGAGAAUAGGCCCAGGCGACUGUUUAGCAAAAACACAGCUCUAUGCUAAAUCGAAAGAUGAUGUAUAUGGGGUGACACCUGCCCGGUGCCGGAAGGUUAAGAGGAGGAGUGAGAGCUCUGAAUUGAAGCCCCGGUAAACGGCGGCCGUAACUAUAACGGUCCUAAGGUAGCGAAAUUCCUUGUCAGGUAAGUUCUGACCCGCACGAAUGGCGUAAUGAUUUGGGCACUGUCUCAACAGCCCGCCCGGCGAAAUUGUAGUACCGGUGAAGAUGCCGGUUACCCGCGACAAGACGGAAAGACCCCAUGGAGCUUUACUGUAGCCUAAUAUUGGGUUUCGAUGUUGCAUGCACAGGAUAGAUGGGACACAGGGAAACAAUCGCUUUGGCGGUUGCGGAGUGGCCGUUGGGAUACCAUCCUUGCGAUAUUGGAAUUCUAACCUGCGGCUCUGAAUCGAGUCGGGGGACAUUGUUAGGUGGGCAGUUUGACUGGGGCGGUCGCCUCCUAAAGAGUAACGGAGGCGUUCAAAGGUUCGCUCAGCUUGAACGGAAAUCAAGCAAAAGAGUGCAAACGCAGAAGCGAGCCUAACUGCGAGACUGACGGGUCGAGCAGUAACGAAAGUUGGAGUUAGUGAUCCGGUGGUAUGUGAGUGGAAAUGCCAUCGCUCAACGGAUAAAAGCUACCCUGGGGAUAACAGGCUGAUCUCCCCCAAGAGUCCACAUCGACGGGGAGGUUUGGCACCUCGAUGUCGGCUCAUCGCAUCCUGGGGCUGUAUUCGGUCCCAAGGGUUUGGCUGUUCGCCAAUUAAAGCGGUACGCGAGCUGGGUUCAGAACGUCGUGAGACAGUUCGGUCCCUAUCUGUCGUGGGCGCAGGAUAUUUGAUGGGAGCUGUCCCUAGUACGAGAGGACCGGGACGGACGUACCUCUGGCGCACCAGUUGUUCCGCCAGGAGCAUAGCUGGGCAACUACGUACGGAUCGGAUAAACGCUGAAAGCAUCUAAGCGUGAAGCCGACCCAAAGAUAAGAUAUCCCAUUGU
Molecule: ribosomal RNA, 1721 nt
Filed under: human gut metagenome
Description: bacterial LSU rRNA
Rfam family: Bacterial large subunit ribosomal RNA
Source: RNAcentral